This 253-nucleotide ribosomal RNA is filed under the name uncultured bacterium. RNAcentral describes it as "partial 16S ribosomal RNA". It matches the Rfam family "Bacterial small subunit ribosomal RNA", at positions 524 to 776 of the family's 1533-position model. The record is from RNAcentral.
UACGUAGGGGGCGAGCGUUGUCCGGAAUUACUGGGCGUAAAGGGCGCGCAGGCGGCCGUGUAAGUCCGCUGUGAAAGACCGGGGCUCAACCCCGGGGUGUCAGCGGGGACUGCACGGCUGGAGUCCCGGAGAGGGAGGCGGAAUACCUGGUGUAGCGGUGGAAUGCGUAGAUAUCAGGUGGAACACCGAUGGCGAAGGCAGCCUCCUGGACGGGUACUGACGCUGAGGCGCGAAAGCGUGGGGAGCGAACGGG